AACAAACGCUGGCGGCGUGCCUAAUACAUGCAAGUCGAACGGGGAAAGCUUUCGGGUGAGUACUAGUGGCGCACGGGUGAGGAACGCGUGGAUAAUCUGCCUUAGAGUGGGGGAUAACUAGUCGAAAGAUUAGCUAAUACCGCAUAAGACCACGAGAGCUGCGGCUUUUGAGGUCAAAGGUUUUUCGCUCUAAGAUGAGUCCGCGUAAGAUUAGCUAGUUGGUGAGGUAACGGCUCACCAAGGCGACGAUCUUUAACUGGUCUGAGAGGAUGAUCAGUCACACUGGAACUGAGACACGGUCCAGACUCCUACGGGAGGCAGCAGUAGGGAAUAGUGCACAAUGGAGGAAACUCUGAUGCAGCGACGCCGCGUGAGUGAUGAAGGCCUUCGGGUCGUAAAGCUCUGUCGCAGGGGAAUAACACAAUGAAGGUACCCUGUAAGAAAGAAUCGGCUAACUUCGUG
Molecule: ribosomal RNA, 462 nt
Filed under: uncultured bacterium
Lineage: Bacteria
Description: partial 16S ribosomal RNA
Rfam family: Bacterial small subunit ribosomal RNA
Source: RNAcentral